RNAcentral lists this ribosomal RNA (492 nucleotides) under uncultured bacterium. RNAcentral's name for it is "partial 16S ribosomal RNA". It matches the Rfam family "Bacterial small subunit ribosomal RNA", at positions 29 to 507 of the family's 1533-position model. The record is from RNAcentral.
AUUGAACGCUGGCGGCAUGCUUUACACAUGCAAGUCGAGCGGUAACAGGCCUUCGGGUGCUGACGAGUGGCGAACGGGUGAGUAAUGCAUCGGAACGUACCCAGAGGUGGGGGAUAACGCAGCGAAAGCUGUGCUAAUACCGCAUGUGAUCUGAGGAUGAAAGCGGGGGACCGAGCAGCAAUGUUUGGCCUCGCGCCUUUGGAGCGGCCGGUGUCGGAUUAGCUAGUUGGUGGGGUAAAGGCCUACCAAGGCGACGAUCCGUAGCUGGUCUGAGAGGACGACCAGCCACACUGGGACUGAGACACGGCCCAGACUCCUACGGGAGGCAGCAGUGGGGAAUUUUGGACAAUGGGCGCAAGCCUGAUCCAGCAAUGCCGCGUGCGGGAAGAAGGCCUUCGGGUUGUAAACCGCUUUUGGCAGGAACGAAACGGUGUCCGCUAAUACCGGGCGCUAAUGACGGUACCUGCAGAAUAAGCACCGGCUAACUACGUG